This 406-nucleotide ribosomal RNA is filed under the name uncultured bacterium. RNAcentral describes it as "partial 16S ribosomal RNA". It matches the Rfam family "Bacterial small subunit ribosomal RNA", at positions 29 to 526 of the family's 1533-position model. The record is from RNAcentral.
AUUGAACGCUGGCGGCAGGCCUAACACAUGCAAGUCGAGCGAGCGGCGGACGGGUGAGUAAUGUCUGGGAAACUGCCUGAUGGAGGGGGAUAACUACUGGAAACGGUAGCUAAUACCGCAUACCAUCAGAUGUGCCCAGAUGGGAUUAGCUAGUUGGUGGGGUAACGCCUCACCUAGGCGACGAUCCCUAGCUGGUCUGGGAGGAUGACCAGCCACACGGGAACGGAGACAGGGUCCAGACUCCAACGGGAGGCAGAGGGGGGAAAUAUUGCACAAUGGGGGCAAGCCUGAUGCAGCCAUGCCGCGUGUGUGAAGAGGGCCUUCGGGUUGUAAGGCACUUUCAGCGGGGAGGCGUUACCCGAAGAGGAAGCACCGGCUAACUCCGUGCCAGCAGCCGCGGUAAUAC